Malus domestica (apple) is the source of this 142-nucleotide small nucleolar RNA. RefSeq annotates it as small nucleolar RNA snoR111. Lineage: Eukaryota; Viridiplantae; Streptophyta; Magnoliopsida; Rosales; Rosaceae. The record is from RefSeq and is a predicted model, not a curated record.
AGAAAAAUGAAGGACAAUUUGGGUGUCUCUUGGUUGAGAAAGACAUUCGUGGUGGUAUAGUGUAUAGGCCGAACCAUCGUUUCGUUCAUCAUCUUAGUUCAUCAUCGUAUAAAUUGGCGAUUCGAUUGUUUCUCGUCCACAU